CCUCGGUAACCUGCUGCGGGCAGAUGUAGUGGCAAUGGGCAUCGAUCGCGCCUGCGGUGACGAUGAGCUUUUCGCCGGCGAUGGCCUCCGUGGACGAGCCGACGACGAGGUUCUUGUCGACGCCGUCCAUGACAUCGGGGUUGCCUGCCUUGCCGAUGCCAACAAUGUUCCCGCCGCGCACACCAAUAUCCGCCUUUUUAAGACAGGUCAGAAAAGCAUAGUGGCAGUGAAACUGCCAUUCACCUUGUAGAUGCCAGACCAGUCGAUGAUGAGAGCGUUAGUGAUGACCAAGUCCAGGCACCCCUUGGAAGAACGGUCUGUGGCCUGGCCCAUGCCCUCGCGGAUG
Molecule: small RNA, 346 nt
Filed under: Phanerochaete carnosa HHB-10118-sp
Lineage: Eukaryota; Fungi; Basidiomycota; Agaricomycetes; Polyporales; Phanerochaetaceae
Description: 5' ureB small RNA
Rfam family: 5' ureB small RNA
Source: Rfam by way of RNAcentral